This 204-nucleotide long non-coding RNA is filed under the name Physcomitrium patens. RNAcentral describes it as "long non-coding RNA (PPAT_LNC008308)". The record is from RNAcentral. Lineage: Eukaryota; Viridiplantae; Streptophyta; Bryopsida; Funariales; Funariaceae.
AGCGUGCACUCCUUCGUGAGGUCGAGGACUUGAAAUGCGGUCCCAAAACAUUCAGAACAGUCACAUGAUUCAUAUACUGUUUCGCUUCUAUAGUCGUGGUGCACCAGAUCCACCAUAAUAUUACACAAAAUUUUAUGGUACAAAGAAUACGUACUCUUGCUUCGAGGACCACGCCAAUACAUGGCUUCAAUUACAAGCUGUCUG